AUGUCUAUUGACAGAAGUUUCCUGUGUCCUGCCUGGUCCUGCAGCCACUCAGUCCCAGAAAAGUUUAAAAGAAAUGCAGAUGAAAACAAUUCUAGAGAACUUCUCAUCUCUCAAUCCCAUUUAUGGUGUUCAGAUACGUGGAUGAUAUCCUACAGCCCCACCCCAUCCCCAGGCAGGUACUUUGCUUGGUGGGUGAUACCAAUGCACUGAUGACAACUUGGAUGUCCAUGGAAAUUGGCUGAACAGUGACAUUUGUUUGCUGGCUGCUAUGCUAAUGACCUUUACCUCUUGCAGCUUGGAGCAACAUUUAAUCUUGUGGAUAAUCACAACUGAAUUGCCUCCUAAGGGUGUGGUUCAAGGAGGAUGAGCUUCCAGCUUAUGUGCUGGAUACACUCAGUAAGGCCACAGUGUAUACACUCUUCACACCAGCCCCCCGGAUGGCCACCUCUGUCUUCUUGGAAGAGCUGCUGGGUGAGCAUAGUUAGUAUGGAUCAAAUGGCCUUACUCAGGGCAAAUCUUCCUACUCCAGUUGAUGGACUACAGGGGGAACAUUUUUCUUUUUUAAGAUUCCCAGCCUUCCUAGUUAGUUUUAUUUCUGCCAAAUUGCACACAAAUGUUCCCUUGAAGCCAGACACUUUUCAGACUCUUGUGCUGCAUGUUGACUUCGCCUGGUUAGGGUUCCACACUGGACCUGGUGCUCACACAGCAUUGCA
Molecule: non-coding RNA, 713 nt
Organism: Peromyscus maniculatus bairdii (prairie deer mouse)
Lineage: Eukaryota; Metazoa; Chordata; Mammalia; Rodentia; Cricetidae
Source: RefSeq, a predicted model, not a curated record